This 467-nucleotide ribosomal RNA is filed under the name uncultured bacterium. RNAcentral describes it as "partial 16S ribosomal RNA". It matches the Rfam family "Bacterial small subunit ribosomal RNA", at positions 28 to 506 of the family's 1533-position model. The record is from RNAcentral.
GACGAACGCUGGCGGCGUGCUUAACACAUGCAAGUCGAACGGAAAGGCCCUGCUUUUGUGGGGUGCUCGAGUGGCGAACGGGUGAGUAACACGUGAGUAACCUGCCCUUGAUUUUGGGAUAACUUCAGGAAACUGGGGCUAAUACCGGAUAGGAGCUCCUGCUGCAUGGUGGGGGUUGGAAAGUUUCGGCGGUUGGGGAUGGACUCGCGGCUUAUCAGCUUGUUGGUGGGGUAGUGGCUUACCAAGGCUUUGACGGGUAGCCGGCCUGAGAGGGUGACCGGCCACAUUGGGACUGAGAUACGGCCCAGACUCCUACGGGAGGCAGCAGUGGGGAAUAUUGCACAAUGGGCGGAAGCCUGAUGCAGCAACGCCGCGUGCGGGAUGACGGCCUUCGGGUUGUAAACCGCUUUCGCCUGUGACGAAGCGUGAGUGACGGUAAUGGGUAAAGAAGCACCGGCUAACUACGU